RNAcentral lists this long non-coding RNA (276 nucleotides) under Vitis vinifera (wine grape). RNAcentral describes it as "long non-coding RNA (VVIN_LNC001097)". Lineage: Eukaryota; Viridiplantae; Streptophyta; Magnoliopsida; Vitales; Vitaceae. The record is from RNAcentral.
GCAUCAAAGGUAGUAAUUUGUUUACAUAACAGAGCAGCUCUAGGUUUGCACAACCAUGUCAAUGGACAGCUCAGUGGUUUUUUUCAGUUCUUGGAUGAUUCUAGCUCUAUUGCUUGCAUUAGGAACAACUGCUCCUCAAGCCCAUGCUCGAGCUUUCUUUGUGUUUGGAGAUUCGCUUGUUGACAGUGGCAACAAUGACUACUUGGUGACGACUGCCCGUGCUGAUUCUCCUCCUUAUGGUAUUGAUUAUCCAACUCACCGACCCACUGGCCGCUU